Molecule: ribosomal RNA, 253 nt
Filed under: uncultured bacterium
Lineage: Bacteria
Description: partial 16S ribosomal RNA
Rfam family: Bacterial small subunit ribosomal RNA
Source: RNAcentral
UACGAAGGGGGCUAGCGUUGCUCGGAAUUACUGGGCGUAAAGGGCGCGUAGGCGGAUAUCUAAGUUGGGGGUGAAAUCCCGGGGCUCAACCUCGGAAUUGCCUUCAAAACUGGAUAUCUUGAGUUCGGGAGAGGUGAGUGGAACUCCGAGUGUAGAGGUGAAAUUCGUAGAUAUUCGGAAGAACACCAGUGGCGAAGGCGGGUCUCUGGACAGUUCCUGACGCUGAGGCACGAAGGCCAGGGGAGCAAACGGG